UACGGAGGGUGCAAGCGUUGCUCGGAAUUAUUGGGCGUAAAGGGUAGGUAGGUGGUCUCAUUUGUCUGGGGUGAAAGCCUUGAGCUUAACUCAAGAAGUGCCCCAGAAACGGUGAGACUAGAGUCUUGGAGAGGGUCGUGGAAUUCCCGGUGUAGCGGUGAAAUGCGUAGAGAUCGGGAGGAACACCAGAGGCGAAAGCGGCGACCUGGACAAGUACUGACACUCAACUGCGAAAGCGUGGGGAGCAAACAGG
Molecule: ribosomal RNA, 253 nt
Filed under: uncultured bacterium
Lineage: Bacteria
Description: partial 16S ribosomal RNA
Rfam family: Bacterial small subunit ribosomal RNA
Source: RNAcentral